GAGAAAAAUACAUGGCUCAGAACCAACCCCAACGGCGAGGAUUAGGCAUGCAAGUCGAGAGAGAACCAGUCUUGGGGGGGGGGACAGCGGCGAAAAAAAAGGGGGUGCCUCGGUGNCGUNCCAACAGCACGGAAAAAGCGGCGGGAAACUGCCGGUAAUACCCGAUGAUCUGCCCAAGUUUUACGACAGGGGCAGCAAAGGUGAAAAAAAAUCGGGGGAGCGGCUGAGGUCGUAUUAGCUAGUUGGUAGGGUGAUGGCUUACCAAGGCGAUGAUGCGUAGGGGGUGUGAGAGCAUGGCCCCCACCACUGGCAAAAAGACACUGGCCAGACACCUACGGGUGGCUGCAGUCGAGAAUGGUCGGCAAUGGGCGCAAGCCUGACCGAGCGACGCCGCGUGCGGGAUGAAGGUCUUCGGAUUGUAAACCUCUGUAGGGGGGGAUGAAGUGCAUCGGGGUGCUCCCUGGUUUUAAAGGGGCCUCGGAGGAAGCACGGGCUAAGUUCGUGCCAGCAGCCGCG
RNAcentral lists this ribosomal RNA (516 nucleotides) under uncultured Planctomycetota bacterium. RNAcentral's name for it is "uncultured planctomycete partial 16S ribosomal RNA". It matches the Rfam family "Bacterial small subunit ribosomal RNA", at positions 1 to 519 of the family's 1533-position model. Lineage: Bacteria; Pseudomonadati; Planctomycetota. The record is from RNAcentral.